RNAcentral lists this unclassified non-coding RNA (297 nucleotides) under uncultured Glomus. RNAcentral describes it as "sequence contains ITS2". Lineage: Eukaryota; Fungi; Glomeromycota; Glomeromycetes; Glomerales; Glomeraceae. The record is from RNAcentral.
AACGCAAAUUGCACUCUCUGGCAACCCGGGGAGUAUGCCUGUUUGAGGGUCAGUGUUAAUAAAAAUCGGAUGCGUUGCAAUUUUUGUGACGUUUCCGGAGUUUGAGUUAUCUUAACUUCGGUUUUAAGAGGCUUAAAAUUGACCUUUUUUUGUGCAUUUUUAGACGUACAUAAAUUUUUUUUUAUUCGUCCAUCCUAAUGCCAAAAUCUAUUAGAUGCGAUCAUAUCUUGUGGUUCCGUGUCUAUAAAUUUUUCAUGAUUUGACCUCAAAUCAGGUAGGAACACCCGCUGAACUUAA